UUAUUUGCAGCCAAGUUUGUUAUAUAAAUACUUGUUGUUUUCUUAGUUGAACCCUAGACGUUCCCAAACGACAAAAACGAAUUAUGAAGGCAAUUUUUUGCACCUUUUCAUAAAUUUCUGAAGAUUUGAAUGUUAUGGAUUAUCUCAAUCAUUUAGUUUAGUAAUACUUAGCUAUUUAAUGUCUAUUUUUACCGUUCUAGAUCAUAUUUUAGCCAUGUCUAGCUAAACCCUAGAUUUCAGUUCUACAUAUAUUUAGGGCUGACAAAAUUAUAUCACGGAAAACCAACCAACAUGUUACCAACCGAACCAAGAAAGUUGGUAGCCAACAUCCUUGGUCGGUAGUACCAUACCAAUUAAGCAAUCUUGGUACGGUAAUGGUACAAAAAUUUGAAUACCAUGGUAAUACCGUAACAACCAAUUCAUUAUAUAUAUAUAUAUAUAUAUACACACACACACACACACACACACACACACACACACACACGAAAUCAUACAUAUAUUCCAAUUAACAAGUGUGUUUAGUUUUUGCAGUUUUAAGAAUAUGAUAUAAGUCAUUUGAUCGCAUUAAUUAAUAGUUACUAUCACGUUAAAAC
Molecule: long non-coding RNA, 593 nt
Filed under: Lactuca sativa (garden lettuce)
Lineage: Eukaryota; Viridiplantae; Streptophyta; Magnoliopsida; Asterales; Asteraceae
Description: long non-coding RNA (LSAT_LNC001376)
Source: RNAcentral